CCUACAACCUAUUUUUCACAUGUUAAGCAAGAAGUCUGCAUGUCAGUGUGAUAAAACUAGAGCUAUCUUGUUAUAAAUCCUAUCCAUUAUCACAGUUAAGGUUAUCAGCCUUUUUCUUUUAAUGUUUGUCAUUAUUUGUGUUUUAUAGCCCGCUAAGGUAAGAACUACUGGUUCUUACCUUAAGAACUACCCAAUAAAACCAAGGGUUUGCUUUCAUAACCAAACCUCAAAGAGAAAUGUUUCACUAGCAUCUCUAACAGCAAUAUUGUUAUCACAGGAGAACCCUCUAAGAAAAUGUGUUCUUGCACUGCCAAAACUACAAAUAAUGAGUUCCUCUGUAUAACUUACCUCAACCAUUAAAAUUUGCUCCUUUUCAUCAUAACCAGAAAAACAAUUCAUUUAUCUGGGUUCUCACCUUUGCUAUUCCAUUCACUAACCUGCUUUAUUUUACCAAAUCUGCCUCUGUAAACUUUUAAGUUAUUCAUGUGCAAAAUGUGAAACUCUAUAGGGCCUCCUUAUUUUAACAUUCUGAUCCUACAUAUAAGGAAAUUGUCACUGACUAUAGAUUAUCAUUUUAUCUAUGGUGAUUUAACCAAUGAAUUACAAAAAUAACAUUUAAAAAGUGGUUUUCUUUAAGCCAAUACUACUACUUAAUGCACUAUAAAGAGGAAGUGUAAUUUUAAAUUGUUACUAUGAAUCUUAAGUUGAUGAUAUAAAUUAUUUUUUCAGCAAACUGGAUGUUUGGUGUUCUCUGAAGUCAAUCACUCUAAAAAUCUUCAGCUUGGAGAUCCAGACAUUAACAGCUACAAAACUUGCUUUCUUCUGGCGCUCCCUAUUUAAUGAAUUUAUCUUGUUUUAGGAUUUUGCUUAUGCGCCUUAGUUAACCUACAAGUUGACCAUUUAAUUUCAUAAAAGCUCUAAAGGGAAAUGUGUAUUCUUCAUGACAUAUACACAAAGAAUAAUUUAGCAGAACUGUUCAUAAAUUGGUAAGCCCCCGUAAUACUCAUGUUUUUAAAAGCAUGGGGGUACAUAGGCACUCCCUAAAAUAAGCAAUUUCCAAGUUAUUAUUUAAAAUGCUAAACCUUACUUAAGCCAAAGUUUUUGCCUUUUACAAAAUACAGAGUAAUUUAGGUUUGUCCUGGUUUUCAAAACACAGAUAUUCCAAACUGGUAAACUGAAGAGCCAUGACAAUCACUAUCUAAUGAUUAUUUAGAAGGUUCCUUUCCAAAGUGUUAGUUCCCUGGGGGAACACUGGAAAGUAAAUCAGGUUAACUUCCAUCUAGAAUAUUAAUAUCCAAUGAAAUAAAAACACUGUCAACUUAUAAUUUUUUUGAGAUCCAGUUUGCACUAACCCUCCUUACUCUCAUUACUCACAAUUCGCCUAUACAUAAAUGUACUGUGGACAUAAGGUCCUAGUUGAGGCUUUUAGGCACUUUACUGUUUCUUCAAAAAGCUUCGUGUAUCCAACACUUAAUAUAGAAAAACAACGGCAUAUUAGAAGCUUUAUUUCUAACAUAUAUUCUGAAUACUUGAAGAACAGAACACUACCAAAGUACCCUGCAGCUAACAGUUAAUGUAGGAAGCAUUUUUUUUUUUAAUUCCCGACAGUAACACAUUCUCCAAUACAAAAACGAUUAGACAACUGAGCUACAAUUCUCUUUAAAAGCAAAAAUAAAAAUAAAAAGAAGGUACAGCAAUUCUAUUUUCCCCUAACAAAGACAGGAAACCCUAGCUGCUGCAUCAAAACAACAAAAAACUUGGGACUCUGAAAGCUGCCCUUUUGGGUGCGAAAUUACAGCGUAAGGAAAGGACCUAGAAAUAAACUGAGCUCUGCACGCUCCUGCCUCUCGCCUCGGGAGCACGCACCUCCCAGCCCCGCUCUCAGCAGCUCUCACUAUUUAAAGCCGGAUCUAGUGUUUAAAUGGAGAGGCGGUGACGUAGGCCUGAAAAGCACCUUCCCAUCCUGGCAGAGUCUAUAUUAGAGAGCGGCAAUGGCUCUAUAUAAACAGGGCAGCCAAAGGGAGGAGGACCACAAGGCUCAGGGACUGAAAAGCAGGGUAAGCGGCCGCAGCCAUGAUGGAUCGACCCGAGUCGCCAACGGAAUUUUGAGAGACGUGGAAUGUAGUCUGGACAAGUGAGGGAGUUUAUUUUCAUAAACCAAAAAGAAAUGUCAAAGUUGUAUGCAACUGAAAGCAUAUUUGGAAAAUAUCAAAGACGACUACCAUAGAGAGGAAAAGAUGCAACGUGCCAGGAGAAAGCAGAGGCCAUUAAUACUCAGAAAUGGGAAAUUGUCGUGUGCCUGGCAUCUAACUAACCACCAUGGAUUCCAUUCCAAUUUACUGUUUUCCAUUCCUCAUUCAGUUGUAAUAUGCCUUCAAUCACUAUAUAUGUGUGCCAGCCAGUUUAGUUUCAGAAAGAGACAUUUCCUGAUCUUGCACCAAAAUACUGGGUCUGAAUAAUUUGGAGACUACAGCUGUUUAAUUCACAAAACUGGAAAUCUGUGAAUAGAAAGCUCCUCCCAUGUAAGACUAGAUUUAGCAUUAUAUUUAAAUUGUUUUUAUCUUUACUUUUUCUUGGGGGAGGGGAGCUUAAAUAACUUUUCCAAUUUUAGCAGCUCCUUGUACCAUGUAUGAAACAUUUAUACUGGAUUUUCAGUCUGUGAACUCAUAUUUUGUAACAGCCGUAUACUUAAACAGAUACAUAUAGUGCUCUCUUUCUUUGUAAUGAAUCUUUUUUUUUUUUUACUUCAAAGUGUUUUGUACUGGAUGAUAAAAAGUUACUUCUUUCUUUUAAUGUUAAUAUUCUGCCUAAACACUGGAUAACUGCCAAACAAAAGAGGCAGUGGAAAAUUUUAGUGCAUAAAUUUUAAUAUACCAUAAACAAAAUGACACCAAACUUUAUAUGUCCAAACAUUAAAAUGUUUUACUGUCCAAAUGACUAUUUCAGCAACAAUGCCAAGAAAGAAAAAAAAUCUAAAAAGACUGCUCAUGGAAAUUAGCUUGAACUAAAAUCUCAUUAUGUAACUUACCUUCAGCUUCCAUGUUCUUAAAUAAUAGAUAGAUAGAUAGAUCAAUAAAGCUAAUUAUCUGGCAUAUUUAGGAAUCAUGCAGCCCUUAUAUACUCAAUAGUAUUGGGCACUUUUGGAGAAAACAGAAGUGAAGAGGGAAGUUCUUGUAACUCAAGCUUACCAAUCCUAAUGAAAGCCCCUAUUGUAUGGUGCAUAAUGACAGCAUUCAUUCAAGAUUUUAAAAGCACUGUAUUUCAGUACUACCAAAAAAUUAUAUUCAGAAUUCACAUAUUUUUUAGGCCUUUACAAAACAAAACAAAAAAUACCUGUUGAUUUCCACAUGCGCUGAUGUUUGAUGCAGUGUAUAAAAAGAAAUUACUGGCCAUACCAAUUACUUUUAUACAUAUGAGGAGAUUUUUUUAACUCUUUUUUUAAUGUUCUCUUCCUUCUAACUUACAGUUUAAAAUUGCUACUUCAUGUCUUAAAACAGCAACUUAGAACAGCAACUUGCAAUUAUUUUUUGUAUAUGGAAAUAUAAGCCAGUUAGUGGUGGCUUAGCAAAAAUAACAGUGUAGAAUCUGUGCAGUCAGGUUUGACAAUGCCAUUACCUUACUGUGAGACCUUCUGUAGUAACUAAACUUCUCUGUGCUUGAUAAGAUGAAAUAGUAACCACCACCUAUGGAUUGUUGGGAAGAUCAAAGGUACUAGAAAGUGCUUUGGUAAGUACUGGGUGGAUGUUUGUAUUAUUAAUGGUAAGUUACAUCAACAACAUCAAAGCAAGGGAAAGGUCUUUUUAACUCACAUUAUAGGAACACUCCUAUGAGAUUUUAAUAAUGCUGCCAGUGGUUGAUGAUUAAUUUAUCCACAAAAAGUUUGGCUAAAUUUUGAUAACUUAAGUGGUGAGAGUAUACAGAGUAAUUUUUGUAUGUAAAUAUAAUAUAUGCUGUUGUGAGAUAAGAUUCCUUAAGCUAAGGGG
Molecule: long non-coding RNA, 3983 nt
Organism: Zalophus californianus (California sea lion)
Lineage: Eukaryota; Metazoa; Chordata; Mammalia; Carnivora; Otariidae
Exons: 3
Source: RefSeq, a predicted model, not a curated record